RNAcentral lists this non-coding RNA (31 nucleotides) under Mus musculus (house mouse). Lineage: Eukaryota; Metazoa; Chordata; Mammalia; Rodentia; Muridae. The record is from RNAcentral.
UGACAAUUUAAGAGCACACCAGGAACGCAUC